GACGAACGCUGGCGGCGUGCUUAACACAUGCAAGUCGAACGGAAAGGCCCUGCUUUUGUGGGGUGCUCGAGUGGCGAACGGGUGAGUAACACGUGAGUAACCUGCCCUUGACUUUGGGAUAACUUCAGGAAACUGGGGCUAAUACCGGAUAUGAGCUCCUGCUGCAUGGUGGGGGUUGGAAAGUUUCGGCGGUUGGGGAUGGACUCGCGGCUUAUCAGCUUGUUGGUGGGGUAGUGGCUUACCAAGGCUUUGACGGGUAGCCGGCCUGGGAGGGUGACCGGCCACAUUGGGACUGCGAUACGGACCAGACUCCUACGGGAGGCAGCAGUGGGGAACAUUGCACAAUGGGCGGAAGCCUGAGGCAGCAACGCCGCGUUCGGGAUGACGGCCUUCGGGUUGUAAACCGCUUUCGCCUGUGACGAAGCGUGAGUGACGGUAAUGGGUAAAGAAGCACCGGCUAACUACGUG
RNAcentral lists this ribosomal RNA (468 nucleotides) under uncultured bacterium. RNAcentral describes it as "partial 16S ribosomal RNA". It matches the Rfam family "Bacterial small subunit ribosomal RNA", at positions 28 to 507 of the family's 1533-position model. The record is from RNAcentral.